GGUAAUGCAAAUUUAAUCUUACUCGGACAUUGGAACAAUAGAGAGAAGAUUAGCACGGUCCCUGUGCAAGGAUGACACACACAAAUUGAGAAAUGGUAUCAGAGCUA
Molecule: small nuclear RNA, 107 nt
Organism: Cucurbita pepo subsp. pepo (vegetable marrow)
Lineage: Eukaryota; Viridiplantae; Streptophyta; Magnoliopsida; Cucurbitales; Cucurbitaceae
Source: RefSeq, a predicted model, not a curated record